This 447-nucleotide ribosomal RNA is filed under the name uncultured bacterium. RNAcentral's name for it is "bacterial SSU rRNA". It matches the Rfam family "Bacterial small subunit ribosomal RNA", at positions 329 to 793 of the family's 1533-position model. The record is from RNAcentral.
UGCCAGACUCCUACGGGAGGCAGCAGUGGGGAAUAUUGCACAAUGGGGGAAACCCUGAUGCAGCGACGCCGCGUGAAGGACGAAGUAUUUCGGUACGUAAACUUCUCUCAGCAGGGAAGAAAAUGACGGUACCUGACCAAGAAGCCCCGGCUAACUACGUGCCAGCAGCCGCGGUAAUACGUAGGGGGCAAGCGUUAUCCGGAUUUACUGGGUGUAAAGGGAGCGUAGACGGCCGUGCAAGUCUGAUGUGAAAACCCGGGGCUCAACCCCGGGACUGCAUUGGAAACUGCAUGGCUGGAGUGUCGGAGAGGCAAGUGGAAUUCCUAGUGUAGCGGUGAAAUGCGUAGAUAUUAGGAGGAACACCAGUGGCGAAGGCGGCUUACUGGACUGUAACUGACGUUGAGGCUCGAAAGCGUGGGGAGCAAACAGGAUUAGAUACCCUCGUAU